This 453-nucleotide ribosomal RNA is filed under the name uncultured bacterium. Its description in RNAcentral is "bacterial SSU rRNA". It matches the Rfam family "Bacterial small subunit ribosomal RNA", at positions 340 to 786 of the family's 1533-position model. The record is from RNAcentral.
UACGGAAGGCAGCAGUGGGGAAUAUUGCACAAUGGGCGCAAGCCUGAUGCAGCCAUGCCGCGUGUAUGAAGAAGGCCUUCGGGUUGUAAAGUACUUUCAGUCGUGAGGAAGGUGUUAAGGUUAAUAACCUUAGCAAUUGACGUUAGCGACAGAAGAAGCACCGGCUAACUCCGUGCCAGCAGCCGCGGUAAUACGGAGGGUGCGAGCGUUAAUCGGAAUUACUGGGCGUAAAGGGCACGCAGGCGGUUAAUUAAGUUGGAUGUGAAAUCCCCGGGCUUAACCUGGGAAUGGCAUUCAAGCUGGUUAGCUAGAGUCUUGUAGAGGGGGUAGAAUUCCAUGUGUAGCGGUGAAAUGCGUAGAGAUGUGGAGGAAUACCGGUGGCGAAGGCGGCCCCUGGACAAAGGCUGACGCUCAUGUGCGAAAGCGUGGGGAGCGAAACAGGGAUUAGAUACC